UGUCUCCGCCUCUCUCUUUUUUUCGUGAGGAAUAAAAUAUCUGUGAUCGAAAUAGAAUAGGUGCUCUUAGACAUAUAGGUUUAUAUCACUUAUACUAAUCAUCAUCAUUUUACCUUUAAUAUAUCCCCAUGAUAGGAUAGGAUUGCUACAGGCUGUCGGCCAACUCGUUCAUCAAUGCUGACUUUAAUAGUGAUUCGAGGGUAUUUAUGGGUUAGCAAAUUGCUUUUUUUGCUAUUGCUACAACUAUUACAAUGGUUUUUUCUUUUCUUUUUUACAUUCGCUAUUGUUAACCCUAUACAUCUGAAGACAUGUUAAUGUUAAUAUUGAUACAUUGGGAUGGAAUCUCCAUACCCACACAGGAAGUACUCUGUAACUACUUAUUUGUAGAUAUUUACCUCUGUAUAUUUAUUAUGUAUAUAUAUUUUUUCUAUCCUAUGUAAUGAAAGUGUAUCUUUGUGUGUGUUUCUUGCUCAGACGCCCCUCUGUGGAUGCACCGGGUACAUGUAUGAUCAGUAUUGUCGGUCUAUGAGGGUUAAUUUACGCCAACUAAUGUUCCCCCCAUAACAUAACUAUCAAACCCGCAGGCUCUCUUAUUUGAUAUUUUGAUAUCCGGUUGACAGCGGUAUUGGUCAAUAUUUUUUUUAAUAAUUGACAUGUGCUGCUUUCUAUGUGCAGAUACAGUUUCCAUUUUUCUUUCCCCUUUCUUUUCCCUCCCUUUUUGUUUCCUCUUUUUAUCUUAAAUAUCAUGUGCACCGUCUCUUCACUCACACUAGUGACACUAAACACACUAUUAUAUAUUAUACCCAAUGGAUCAUUAACGGGGCCUUUUUCUUCCAGUUUACUACUGGGGAUGAAUUCCCCUUUAUAACCGCUAGAUGGCAGCCCCAGCAUCAAUAUUAAUCAUCACAGCUAAGCCAUGCUAAAAAUCCCAAUUCAUCAUUGUGUGCCUAAUAUUCAUUGGGUGUUUGUGCCGUGAUGGCUAUUCUUGUGCGUUUUCUGUUUGGGCAUGGGGAAUUUUUGCUUUGUGCCCUGAACUUUGUGGGCCGUUUUGGGCGAUAUACCAUAUUAGUCCGCCUCAGUGGGAUCUCUAUUUAUGCGCCGCACUAUCGAAACGGCGCGCAUCUAUGACGUCAUCACGUUAUACGUCCAUGUGAUCCCACAGCCUAUAUAAACCUGAUGCUCAUGCAAUGGCGCUGUGUCACCGUGUGUACACCCUGGGACACAGACGCAUUGCUGCUGCAAUCAGUUAUAGGGCCUGUACAAAAGCCCCAUACAAAGGCUGCUACAGAAAGGGUUUCUCUAUGUAAGCCCCUCCACAUUGCUGUUAUACUGCCAUCUGUUGUCCCAGUGUGCUCAGGACUUCAUAAAAAUAGUCCGAGUAUUAACUCUUCCUGUGGUACAUAUCUUCCACCUUUUGGACUUGCAGUCUUGACUCUUUCGACUCACCUAAGAUUUUCGAUAUAUGGAAACUUGUGCCUAAAGCUUACCUUCCGACUUGGUAUAUUUCCAUCUUAUAUGCCCCGUGGACGCACCCAUCGAGGGACCACCAGCCAUGUAAAUACACACUAUGACACUUUUAUGCAUUGCAUUUUAUUUUAAUUCUAUAUUUUGAUUAAUAUUUUUGUUUGACUAAUAUGCCACACUGUAUCAUUG
Long non-coding RNA from Rana temporaria (common frog), 1653 nucleotides. RefSeq lists it as uncharacterized. The transcript has 4 exons. The record is from RefSeq and is a predicted model, not a curated record. NCBI's taxonomy places the organism in Eukaryota, Metazoa, Chordata, Amphibia, Anura, Ranidae.